AUGUAACAACUUUGACGGAUCCGAAACAUGAUAUUGUUUCAUGGAGCACAAUUAUCACAGGAUAUGGAAGUCAUGGAAAAGGGGAGAUAGAUGGCUUUAAAGCUGUAUUCGGAUUUUCUAAUUUCAUGGAAUCAACCAAAUCGUGUCAUUUUCCUUUCUGUUCUCUUCUCUUGUAGCCACAAUGGGAUGGUUUCUGAAGGUCUGAGCUUAUUCAAUUCUAUGACUCGGGAUUUUGGAAUUAAACCAGAACUUGAGCAUCGAGCUUGCAUCGUUGAUCUGCUCUGUCGAGCUGGAAAGAUUGGGGAGGCAUAUGAAUUCAUUUGGAAAAUGUUCUCUAACCCUACAACUGAUGUUUUGGGCAUACUUCUCGAUGCAUGUCGGAUGAAGGGUGAUGCUAAACUUGGAGAAAUUGUUGCAAGAGAUAUGAUGAUGCUGAAACCUGCAUGUGCUGGAAAUUAUGUACAACUAGCUCAUAGUUUUGCUGCUAUGAAUAGAUGGGAGGGGGUGAAUGAUGCAUGGACUCAAAUUAAGGCUCUUGGACUUAAAAAACUCCCAGGUUGGAGUCUGAGUUAAUUUGGUGACAGCAGUCUGAGUCAUUCAGUCAUCCUGAAGAUUCAUCUUCCAGCUGCUGUCUGGUACUGCAGACCUGUGUGCCAAUUACCAAGGUCUGGGGUAAAUUUCCCAAUCAAAGUAACAAUAAUUGAACAUAUAGUUGGUUAACUUGUGCAAAUAUAUAGGGAAGAUUUUAUUGUAGAAGUGAUUCUUUGACAGUAAAUCGGUUCACAUUAGAGAUGGGAAAUCGAUGCAGGUGUGAUUGUAUAGCUUCUACGGGUGAUUCUUUCAUCCGUAAUUUCUUCUACAGAUCAACCAUUUCUGCAGGUGUAUGUUCGAGUGUCACAAGUACGUAACUGGGAGGAAAGUCAUGCAGGAGACAAUUGUGAAAUGAUCUUCAUGUGAUGUAAGUAUCCAUCAUUCCAUCAUGAUCCUGUAAGUUAGUGAUUAAUAGAGUAUAUAUUCAAGUAAUUAUCCUUGUUUCUUGCGAGUAGUUAUAUAGCAUCAGAAUUCUGUCAUCUUGAAAGUAAUUUCUGGUAGUGAAAAUAUUUGCACAGCUACAAGUAUAAUAAGUUUGCAAACAUAUUUAGGCUAAACUUUCGACUGCCAGAUUAAUUAUAGAUAUAUUUAGGCUAAACUUUCGACUGCCAGAUUAAUUAUAGAUUUAUUUCAAGUGAAAUCAUGGCAGUUAUCAGAUUAGCUUAAGUUAUUGUUCUUGGUUAUUUUUACCUCAAUAAAAUACCUCAAAGCAUCAACUAAGUCGCUAUACAACCUGACAAUCUUUGCAAAGCUUAACAGUUUUGGUAAUAAUUAGGCUUUGACCAUGACAGUGGGAGGAAUGCUGAAUGAAGCUAUUAAUAAUUUUAAAUGACACUAAAUAUGGCUUAAUAGAGCUUUCAAAUGACACUAAAUAUGGCUUAACCAUGGUCAUUAAAAUUCCACCUAAAAAGGAUUAGGCUCCAAAUUCGAUCGUGAGCUCAGACGACAACAAAGUACCAAAUUACCAUCAUAAUGUGUAAGCCAAUUCCAGCGUUGAAUUUUAAAAUAGAGAGCUAGGCCACUGGUAAACUCUUGAGCACCUGUCUUUUGGUUGUGUCUACGGCAAGGCUGCUUUAGACCAGAUUAAGCAGUGGCUGGGGAUAAGAACUUCAAAAAUUGAUCUGUUAUACCUGCUGAAAUGGCUACAGAAGGACUACAAAGGCUCUAGAUUCAAGAAAA
Long non-coding RNA from Spinacia oleracea (spinach), 1770 nucleotides. RefSeq lists it as uncharacterized. NCBI's taxonomy places the organism in Eukaryota, Viridiplantae, Streptophyta, Magnoliopsida, Caryophyllales, Amaranthaceae. The transcript has 3 exons. The record is from RefSeq and is a predicted model, not a curated record.